UACCACUGCCACCCCUGCCAUC
This 22-nucleotide unclassified non-coding RNA is filed under the name Mus musculus (house mouse). RNAcentral's name for it is "oocyte_clustered_small_RNA5478". The record is from RNAcentral. Lineage: Eukaryota; Metazoa; Chordata; Mammalia; Rodentia; Muridae.